RNAcentral lists this ribosomal RNA (1043 nucleotides) under uncultured archaeon. RNAcentral's name for it is "bacterial SSU rRNA". It matches the Rfam family "Archaeal small subunit ribosomal RNA", at positions 7 to 1054 of the family's 1478-position model. The record is from RNAcentral.
GUUGAUCCUGCCGGAGGUCACUGCUAUCGGGGUUCGAUUAAGCCAUGCGAGUCGAGAGGGUUCAGACCCUCGGCGGACUGCUCAGUAACACGUGGAUAAUCUGCCCUAUGGUGGAGGAUAACCCCGGGAAACUGGGGAUAAUACUCCAUAAGUCAGGAGUACUGGAAUGUCUCCUAACUGAAAGUUGCGGCGCCAUAGGAUGCAUCUGCGGCCGAUUAGGUAGUUGUUGGGGUAACGGCCCAACAAGCCCGUAAUCGGUACGGGUUGUGGGAGCAAGAGCCCGGAGAUGGAAUCUGAGACACGAUUCCAGGCCCUACGGGGCGCAGCAGGCGCGAAAACUUUACAAUGCAGGAAACUGUGAUAGGGGAACCCCGAGUGCCCGUACACGCGGGCUGUCCCGGUGUUUAAAACACAUCGGAAGAAAGGGCCGGGCAAGAUCGGUGCCAGCCGCCGCGGUAAUACCGGCGGCCCGAGUGGUGACCACUUUUAUUGGGCUUAAAGCGUUCGUAGCUUGAUUUUUAAGUCUCUUGGGAAAUCUCACGGCUUAACUGUGAGGCGUCUAASAGAUACUGGGAAUCUAGGGACCGGGAGAGGUAAGAGGUACUUCAGGGGUAGAAGUGAAAUUCUGUAAUCCUUGAGGGACCACCGAUGGCGAAAGGCAUCUUUACCAGAACGGCUUCRACAGUGAGGAAMAGAAAGCUGGGGGAGCGAACGGGAUUAGAUACCCCGGUAGUCCCAGCCGUAAACUAUGCGCGUUAGGUGUGCCUGUAACUACGAGUUACCGGGGUGCCGAAGUGAAAACGUGAAACGUGCCGCCUGGGAAGUACGGUCGCAAGGCUGAGACUUAAAGGAAUUGGCGGGGGAGCACCACAACGGGUGGAGCCUGCGGUUUAAUUGGACUCAACGCCGGGCAGCUCACCGGAUAGGACAGCGGAAUGAUAGCCGGGCUGAAGACCUUGCUUGACCAGCUGAGAGGAGGUGCAUGGCCGUCGUCAGUUCGUACUGUGAAGCAUCCUGUUUAGUCAGGCAACGAGCGAGACCCU